GACGAACGCUGGCGGCGUGCUUAACACAUGCAAGUCGAGCGGAAAGGCCACUUCGGUGGUACUCGAGCGGCGAACGGGUGAGUAACACGUGAGUAAUCUGCCCCUGGCUUUGGGAUAGCCACCGGAAACGGUGAUUAAUACCGGAUACGACCACUUCUCGCAUGGGAUGGUGGUGGAAAGUUUUUUCGGCCAGGGAUGUGCUCGCGGCCUAUCAGCUUGAUGGUGAGGUAAUGGCUCACCAUGGCUUCGACGGGUAGCCGGCCUGAGAGGGUGACCAGUCACACUGGGACUGAGACACAGCCCAGACUCCUACGGGAGGCAGCAGUGGGGAAUAUUGGACAAUGGGCGGAAGCCUGAUCCAGCAACGCCGCGUGAGGGAUGACGGCCUUCGGGUUGUAAACCUCUUUCAGCAGGGACGAAGCGCAAGUGACGGUACCUGCAGAAGAAGCACCGGCCAACUACGUGCCAGCCGCCGCGGUAA
RNAcentral lists this ribosomal RNA (481 nucleotides) under uncultured bacterium. Its description in RNAcentral is "partial 16S ribosomal RNA". It matches the Rfam family "Bacterial small subunit ribosomal RNA", at positions 28 to 523 of the family's 1533-position model. The record is from RNAcentral.